This 340-nucleotide long non-coding RNA is filed under the name Bos taurus (domestic cattle). RNAcentral describes it as "long non-coding RNA NONBTAT020347". Lineage: Eukaryota; Metazoa; Chordata; Mammalia; Artiodactyla; Bovidae. The record is from RNAcentral.
GCUUUGUUUCCUUAAUUAAAGAAAUGUGAUUCUCUUUUCCAGUUAAAAAAAAAAAAAACACCCAUUGCACAUUUCUUGAAAAAUAGCAAAAGCAUAAUGAUUGGGUGAAUUCUACCCCACAUAAGAGCUCCAUCAGCUUGUGGUCAUCAGCUGCUCUAGACUAGAAUUAGUUUCUCUUGUGAGUUCUCUUAGUCCUUAGGUCUUUGUGAGACUUGACUUCUGUUUUCCCAGAAACACUGGGAAAACAUCAAGCUUGCAUAGCCUGCAGUUUAGCACAGUUCUGAAUAUACCGGUUCCUAUUGUAUCAGUAUAUUUGCAUAUCCCUGAAAACCUUCACUCA